UCCGCUCCUCCGUCGCACCUUCCCUCUCGCCGCCGGCAAGCUCCCUCGUUUUCCUCUGGUGGUCCUCCCCGUCACCUUGCUCCCUUUGCUCAACCCUCGGCGGGAGAAGGAGUACAGGGGCGCCGGCCAGGUAGGGUGCCCUCGAUGCAGGAUGGUGCGGUCAGAUGUACCUGCAGCCGAAGUAAUAGGCAGAGGGAGAGAAGAUACCGAGGUCAUCGCGGCCGGUAAGAUCAGUGGCGGCGCUGCUUUGGGAGAGGUCGUGCGUCGAGCAGUGGCGACCGCGGCUGAUGCAGAUUACGCCAAGGUGAGGCUUCUUCCAAUCCGUUCUUCCCCUCUACUCCAGAUCUAUCUUCCUCUCAUGUAUGCACCGUGCUGAUCGAGAUCGUGGUGACAACCUUGCCCGCCCUGUUUACUUCCUCAUCACGGGCCAGUGACGGCAAACCCUAGCUCAUUGGAUUUCGUAGGCUGGUGCAGCCCAACGCGACCGCAGCUCGUGGACAACGGGGACCUGCACGACGGCUGCAGAGAUUCGUGGCGACAAUAACCACCAUUGUGAUUUCAAGUUGGGGAAAAUUUCAGUUUACGUGAUAUGCUACUGAAUAGAGGGAGCUUGAGCUGAUGUACGUUUUCUUCCCUGCUGCACCUUGGUAUGUCCAUUCAAGAAGGCAGGUAUAUUACUGAUAAAACCUACAUGAUGGAUGGAUGAUGUCCAUGCCUUGUGCGGAUUGGCAUGACAACGGCGACCGCAACCGCAAUGAGGCGGUGGUGAGGAUGCACCGAGUCUCAAGGGUGGAAGGGUGGCUGGAGGGAGCAGGAUCAACACGCUGCAGGCUACGGCCGUGGUGGAGAUGGAGGCGGCUACCUUGGCAAGGCAGCAAUAGUCACAUGGUACGUCUUCUCAUAAAUUGCUCUGAACUGAAUCGUCGCCGCUGCUCCCGCUGCACAGGCUAGGGCCACAUUCUCAACCGUACACAUGACUCUAAGCUUCCCACAACAUGUAUGCCAAAUUGUCUGGUCUAUUCUUUUUCACCUUCUUGUCUAUCAGGCAUAUCCAGAUACAAAUGUUAUGAACACUGUCAGAUCAAUUUUUGUUUUGUUUUUGUGGAUCUGCCUGGCUUUCCAAUGUUUAUGUUUUCCGUUAACCUCUUACAUGUCAUCAUUUAUUAUUUUGCUUUGUCGUAAAUUAAGUUGUUAGUAAUCAUCAAAUCAUUUUUUGGAAUCGAAUUAGGAUUCUGGACAAAUUAUUAUGUUUCAUGCAUGACUCCUGAAUAGUGAGCAUGGUUCUGUUUUUGGUGUGUUUGGGUUGUGAGCAUAAACUUCGCAAAUCACUAGCCGAUGAGAAGCAGCUGGGCAUACAUGGGUGCUAGGAUGGAGGCGAGAGAGAAUUGUAAGCACUUCAAUGAAGCUUACUGUAAGCACAGAAGCAAGGAAGGCGCCCAACCCUUGCGCGCCAUGUGAGCCUCUCAAGAUUAACCUUUUUAUAAGCACACUUGUUGUAAGCACUUCAUUUCAUAUGCCAAAAUGCACACUGAUUGUUAGCCUGAUCGUUAGCUUCUAUAAAUUAAAUUCAUAUUAACUUCCAAACUUUUAUUGUGAUGAUUUUAUGUUCACAGAGAACCAUCUACAAAAUGUUUUACUGGUGGUGUUAGAAACUGUUUUGAUUUCUUCAGAAUAUUGUCGUGCUUUAAAUUCUCUUCUUUCCUGAAUGAUAUCGUACUGAACCUCAAAAUUUCUGAACUUUGUGACCUGGGUCUAACAUGAUUUGAAGUCUUCUAUGUGGCAGAUGAGCAAUAGCUUUAUACAUUUUAUGUUUCAAGCAAGUAGGAAACAAGUUAACAUUACUUCUGCUUAGGCGAUGGCCAACGAAAAUCUUAAGUAAAAUAUAAAGUACUGUAUUGUUUGUUUCUGCUUUCUUCUUCCGAUUCUUGUAGUUGUGAUGCUCCGUUCCUAAAAGAUAAAAUUGCCAAUAUCUAGAUCUAUCAAAAGUUUUACUACAAUUUGAGUUUUUAUUUUUUAAAUGUUUAAUGGAACGUACAGGUAGUUCAUUCCUGGUCAGAAGAUCCUUUGCUUUUCCCUUAUCAAAUUAGCUUUCGGUGUUUUUUAUUUCUAUUGGUAUGUCCCUAGACAUAUGGAAGAAGAUUGCUAUGAUUUGAUUCUUAGUCCCAUGGUUAUAGAAAUGUACAUCGUUUAAACGUCACGUCUUGAUGGUAAAUGCUAUCUACCAUAUAUUUUUCGCCCUGGGUUAGCCGUGUUUUUACAUUCAAAUAAAGAACAGUGUUGAGCUGAAACCUGAAGAAACAAAUAAUCAGAUUGAACCACACAUUGUCCUGGUUAGCUGUAUUUGUGGUUGGUGCCCUGUUCUCAAAGAAUAUUGUGUUCUUAUCUUCCUGUUAAAAUUUGACCUCAAUUGUGGAUGUUAUCUUCUCCAUCUGUUACUUUGUUUGCUGAUAGACAAAGUGUAUAUCAAUGAAAGUAUGUACCAUCUGAUAUUUACUUGUCUGAAAUUAUGUAGGGACUAUUUGAUUUAGUCGAAUUUUGAAUGAGUUGUUGCCGGUGUUUCUUGUAGUUUAGGCUACCGCUACCACCAACUGAUAAAGUUUUGUUUUUCCCUUACCGGAGUUGUUUAAGAAUCACAUAAAAAUAUUUAUAAUUUGCUUGUUGGCUAUAAAGUUGUUGGGAGCACAUCUGUACUUUGUCCGCUAGGGAGUAGGGAAUUGGCAAGUUAUUAUCUGCUCCAUGCUUUUUGUUCUUACAAUGAGUUGCAGGUUCAUGAUUGUUGCAGAGGUUGCAGACACUUUCAAUACAUGCAGUUCAUGAAAGCUCUUUCAUCUGGAUUACAGACAAGGUUCGAUUAUCUGCCCCUUCCAAAUCUAUGUAGAAACAACCAAGGAGAUGUUCUCUCUGUGCCGGAUUACAUGAACCCCUUCUCUGCUGCAGUACAUCGAAUCUACUGUUCCACCUUCCAUAAUAAUUCAAGCCUAGCUGCUGACCUCCGUUUGCUCUGACAUGUAUGUGUGUUCCUUUUGUUAGUGUACACCACCAACUCGAUGUGUGCUAAUUUGUUCAGACAUCGUUUUAACCUUGCGUUUAAAUUAAACUCAUGGAACCAUUGUAUUAGCCGCUUGUAUUUCAAUCAACAAAACUCAAUUGUACGUGAUGUUUUCUGGUAAGCAUUGUUGUAAACAAGUUUUGUCAA
Long non-coding RNA from Lolium rigidum, 3196 nucleotides. RefSeq lists it as uncharacterized. NCBI's taxonomy places the organism in Eukaryota, Viridiplantae, Streptophyta, Magnoliopsida, Poales, Poaceae. The transcript is spliced from 4 exons. The record is from RefSeq and is a predicted model, not a curated record.